CCUACGGGGGGCAGCAGUGGGGAAUAUUGGACAAUGGGCGAAAGCCUGAUCCAGUCAUGCCGCGUGUGUGAAGAAGGCCUUCGGGUUGUAAAGCACUUUCAGUGGGGAAGAAAGCCUUGGGGCUAAUACCCUCGAGGAAGGACAUCACCCACAGAAGAAGCACCGGCUAACUCCGUGCCAGCAGCCGCGGUAAUACGGAGGGUGCGAGCGUUAAUCGGAAUUACUGGGCGUAAAGCGCGCGUAGGCGGUCUGAUAAGCCGGUUGUGAAAGCCCCGGGCUCAACCUGGGAACGGCAUCCGGAACUGUCAGGCUAGAGUGCAGGAGAGGAAGGUAGAAUUCCCGGUGUAGCGGUGAAAUGCGUAGAGAUCGGGAGGAAUACCAGUGGCGAAGGCGGCCUUCUGGACUGACACUGACGCUGAGGUGCGAAAGCGUGGGUAGCAAACAGGAUUAGAUACCCUAGUAGUC
This 465-nucleotide ribosomal RNA is filed under the name Vreelandella stevensii. Its description in RNAcentral is "partial 16S ribosomal RNA". It matches the Rfam family "Bacterial small subunit ribosomal RNA", at positions 338 to 795 of the family's 1533-position model. Lineage: Bacteria; Pseudomonadati; Pseudomonadota; Gammaproteobacteria; Oceanospirillales; Halomonadaceae. The record is from RNAcentral.